Molecule: long non-coding RNA, 8615 nt
Filed under: Lactuca sativa (garden lettuce)
Lineage: Eukaryota; Viridiplantae; Streptophyta; Magnoliopsida; Asterales; Asteraceae
Description: long non-coding RNA (LSAT_LNC007291)
Source: RNAcentral
AACAUUAAGGGGCCUAAGUGCUCUGAACUAAAAGUAUACUCUACAAAUAUAAGUAUCUUCUAAAGUAUACAAGUAUACCCGACCGUCGAAAUCCAUAACUACAAGUAGAACAAAAUAUAAGUAAAUGGGUGUUGUACGCUGCGGUUAAACCUGGGCAGCUAUGUAGUCGUGUCUAGGAUUAAUAUAGUCUGGCCAACUAUAUUCAUUCGAGACACGGCCAACAUGUGCUUGGGAGUGACUGUGGUACGCAACAUACCUAAAACUUACCCAAUACCCCAAACAAUGAGCCGUCGUUGCAGCGAACCAUGAAAUACUAUGGGAGUAUUUCUCAAGCCGAUCCGUUGUAGAAGUCCUCAUUCAAGCGUUGUUCCUUGAUCAUUCCUUUUGCGAUAAAUUAUUUGCUUUGAUAACUCCCUCCUGUUUUAUCGCUUAAUAGAAUAUCUGUCUUAAUGAGAUAUCCCCUGUUCCGUAUCUCUUGAUUCAAUUCAGAGGACUUAUGAUCCUCUUUUUCCUGGUUAUUCUAGAUCAAGAUGCCUCCAAGGAAACGACCCAGCUUAAAGACCAACAACUCUCCACCGCCACCACCUCCUAUUCAAAUCGAUCUGGAAACACUUAAGGCAGCCAUUACUGCCGCAGUGUCAGCCACCCUGUCUCAAUUAAACCCCAGUGGUUCAAGGGGUGGUACCCAAACCCAAAACCCGGAAGGUAAUCAGGGACACCGGAAGGAGUGUUCCUAUAAAGACUUUAUGAAUGCAAAACCCACGUUCUUCGAUGGCACAGGGGGUGUCAAUGCUCUAACUCGGUGGUUGAAGAAAAUCGAAUCUAUCUUCGAGAUUUGUGCCUUUUCGGAAUCUGACAAGGUGAAAUUCGCCGCCUGUACGCUCACCGAUAAAGCUUUGACUUGGUGGAACGGCUUAGUCAAAUCCCUGACUCUACCUGUAGCCAAUGCUAUGGGAUGGGAAGUUAUGAAGGAACUUCUGCGCGGGGAGUAUUGCCCUCGGGGUGAAAUCCAAAAGCUGGAGCAUGAACUCUGGAACCUGAAGAUGAAAGGUUCCGAUAUCGCCGCUUACACUUCAAGGUUUGAUGACUUGGCACUUCUUUGUCCGAGGAUGGUUACCCCAGAAGGCAAAAAGGUAGAAAGGUUCAUCUGGGGAUUAACCCAGCCAACAAAAGGGAACGUUAUAGCGGUGAAGCCAGAUACCUAUGACAGCGCCAAAUGUCUAGCGCAAACCCUGAUUGAUCACAAUGAUGACCAAGAAGAAGCAGAAACCACUCCUGAGCCAACAGAAAAGAGUGGCGAGAAAAGGAAGUUUUGGAAAAAGAAGAAGAAGAGUCAGUCUUCCCCAGAACCCUCGAAGAAACAGCAGAUACUGGCAGUCCACGCUGCCACUACCCCUGUUGAUGUAUCUAUUGUAGGUUCCUCAGCCCAAGCACCUGUCACCGGAUAUGCCGGUAUCCUCCCGUGGUGUAACCGAUGUAGCUACCACCAUCACAUCCCUGGCCCUUGUCGUGCAAAGUUUUGUAAAAGUUGUGGCCAGGAAGGUCACCUCGCGCGAAGCUGCAGAACCCCAACCCAAUCAACUAGUCAAGCUUCUAGAGCUGGUAUCGGUCAAACCUGCUACAGUUGUGGAGAUGUCGGGCAUUAUAGACGAAACUGUCCUAAGGCAGUAAUAUCUGGCAACACCGGGAGUGUCUUAACUAUGGGACAUGAAAGGACAGCCGCUGACCCCACCGUUGCCACAUGUAUAUUGUUUCUCGAUGAAUCUUGUGCGCGUGAUCCUUUUCGAUUCUAAUGCUGAAAGAAAUUACUAACCAUUCAUUCAAAUAUCUUUCUAAACUAAAUCCUUCGUUAGUAAUCGAAAUCUGUACCGUCGAGAUGACCAACCAAUGAGAAAGAGAACAUUAACGUCAUACCCUUAGAUCGUAUCCUCAAUUCGGAUGAUUAUUCCUUUCCAUUCGAUCUAAUGGUAAAAUUUUCGUGAAAAGCUUUGAUGCGAUCCUUGGCAUGUAAUUACUAAGUCUCAUUCAUGCUGUUAUUCUUGUUUUUGAAAGGGUCGUCCAUCCGAACCUUUCUUCUGACCCGACUCUCAUGAUUCUCGGCAUCAAACCUAAACCCAACCUUCGCAUCUUCGUGUAUCAAAGCUUAGAAAGUUUCCCAUGCCUUCCUCGUCCGUGUGAUAAUCGGGAAAUGAGAUGUAUGCAACUCUUUCCUCGAUGCCUUUCCCGAAAAUUCUCGAGAAUUCCUUCCAAACGUCUAGUCAAGUCUCAUAUCGACCUAAUCCCUGGAAUUGCCUCGUAACCGAACCUCCGGAAGAAUGAUGUAUCCUAUACAGCGACCAGCACCUGGCAUGAUCACCACGAGUGCGUAGUGGUGCCCUUCGGUCAAACCAUUUUCCCUGGUUAUAUAGAUAAGCAAAACAGUCAUACCCGUGAACCUUCCAAAAGCUAAGACGAUAGAGAACUAGUCGGCACCAGAGAUACCUAUAGAAACCUGUAACUUAGUAACAUUAGACCCUUCGCGAUCCUCGUAGGAACGAUUCCGUAACCUUCAAACUUCGGCUACCCUCAGAACUUAGUAACAUCCAUAUGGUACUUCAUGUCUCGGUGUUUAAGAAGUAUCUACCCAACGAAUCGAAGACGCGUCUCGAUAUUGAGGGUUUGCUGGAACGUCAAGCGGAGACCCGAUGCCACUUGGGAGCGUGAAAACCUGGAGCAGCUGAUCCACCCGCAUCUCUUUUAAUUUCAUGAGCUGUUUGCAACCUUUGAAUUUCGGGACGAAAUUCCCUCUAACGGGGGGAUAAUGUAACAACCCGAAGUUGUCCGUCGCCGAAAUUCGUUCCGCGCGUAAAAAUCCGCCUUUAUCGAUUCGUCCCGUUUUCGUUUUUGGGCUAAGAUAUAUAAACUAUAAGUUUAUUUUAAUCUCGUAAGUGUUCAAAUCCAUUUAAAACUCAUGAAAAUGGCCCAAAAUCAUUAAUUUGAAAUUUCUAAAUUCUAUCCCGUCGAAUUACGGAAACUUAAUCGGGUGCGACCAAAAGCCCCGUUUAAUGCUGGUAGCAGGUAGAAUUCCUCCGUGUCCAAGUUUUGGGACCUAUUUAAUCGUGUUCAAGCUUUCAUUUGAAGCUUUUUCUUCCUCUCUCUACUCUCUCUCUAACCUCUCUCCUAAAUCCAAGUUUAAGGGUCAAAACCUCAAAUUUAAGGUUUCUAAUCACCAAGGUACCUUCCCUAACUUGUUAUACAACCCCUCUAGCCUUUAAAUUUAAGUUUAAAUCAUGGAUUAGGACCAUUAUUAUGAGUUUACAGCCCUAGAACAGUCCUAGGCCGUAAACUCAUAUAAAUGGGGUUUUUGGAGCAACAAAACCCUUCCAAACCGCAAUUGGACCUUAGAUAUGGCUAGAUGACUUUAUGGAAUGGACUUAGAAUGCCUUAAACCAUGAUUUAGAGCGUUGUUCAUGCGUUUAUGGCCCUGGAGCAUCCUUGGGCCGUAAACACAUAUAAAAGUGGUUUUUAAGCCCUUAAACCCUUCCAAAACAUCAAUAAGGCUUAGAUACGACUUGUAGAAUUAUGGAAUUGGCCUUGGAACACCUUGAACAUCAAUUUAGAGGAGUAAACUUGAGUUUACUGCCCAAGAACAUGCUUUGUCUGUAAACUCAUAUUCUUGGGGUGUAAACUCCUCUAAAUGUGUUAAGAUGCCACUUAAACACACCUUAAGCCUUGGGGUAAAUUCUAGAAGUGACCACAAACAAGAAUUGGACCGUAAAACAUAAUAAAACACCCAUUUAGGGAGUUCAUGGCCAUGAGGGGGUUCAUGGGCGGUAAACUCCUAAAGUCAUGCCAAAAGUCCCCAAAAAUUGAUACAUGGCUUGUAAAAUGAGUUUAAAUCACACGUGAUUGUCCUAGCAUCACCAAAACACAUAAGAAUUGGGUAUAGGGGAGUUUACGGCCGUAAAAUCCUAGUUUACUGCCGUAAACUCCAUUAAAUGGUCAAUGUGUAUGUUUAAUCCACUCCUAUGCCCUAGAUUUGAUCCUAGAAAAUUUUCCCAAUUCAUAUGAAGCCAUUUAGCAACCAAAAGUACCCCUCCAUGAGUUUACGGCCGUAAACUCAUGGGGAAUAUGUCAUUAGGGCCGAAAACUCAUGUAUGCGUUUACUCUUGAAGAGUAAACUCAAUAUCCUAGCUAUAUGUGUCCCCAAACGUCACCCGGGUCCUUCCAAACACUUGUAAUGGGGUGUUUCCGCAACUAGAAGAAUACGUCCUUAGCAAAUAAAUUAAUUAAGUCCUAAUUAGAUACAAAUCUGUAUCAUUUCAUAAUCCAUAGGAAUCUUGUGCGUUCGCGAACCCAGAACUGACGUUUAGGAUCCAAACUGACGCGUUUCUCAACCGGUGAGUUCAUACCCCUACCCUUUUUUCAAAUGUUUUUCAAAUGUUUUCAGGGGGAAGGGGGGAAUACAAGCAAAAGUAAAAGGAAAUCUUGUACUUAAACGUAUUUUCAGUCCAAAUGUUUUAUUUCAUGUAUGUUUCUAAUAUCGAAAAUCGUGAUAACUAAUGAUUCGAAUUGCAGGGUAUACUGUCAGACUAAAGUGAGAUUUCUAUAAAAGUGUUUUGAAUUAUAUUACAUUUUUGCAAAAGAAAUCAUAUUUAACAUAAACUAAGAUUAGUACGAAUACGAAUACGAAUACGAAUACGAGUAUAACCAAUAGUAUAGUACGAACACGAGUACGAAUACGAAUACGAAUGUAACCAAUAGUAUAGUACGAAUACGAGUACGAAUACGAAUACGAAUAUAACCAAUAGGAUAGUACAAAUACGAAUACGAAUACGAAUAUAACCAAUAGUAUAGUACGAAUACGAGUACGAAUACGAAUACGAAUAUAACUAUUAGGUUAGUACGAAUACGAAUGCGAAUACGAAUAUAACUAAUAGAAUAGAACGAAUACGAAUACGAAUAGAAAUAGGACUACGAAUGCGAAAUAACGCCUUGGGAUGACACCAAGACUUCGAAUAUACAGUUAAUGUACGCCUUGAAUGUCACCAAAGUUUCGAAUUUAAUACGAAAGUAUGCUUCUGGACCUCUACUGAUUUUCGAAUACAUCCGCCUUAGAAUGUUGCCAGAGAUAUGAAAAUACAACUAAUGUACUCUUUUGGAAAUCAUCAGAAUAAUCGAAAAUACUGUAAUGUACGUUUCUUGUGAAUCCAAAUAUUCGAAAAUACAACUAAGUUAGUAGAUGAUAGACAUUCGAAUGUAGGAUAACUAAGAGUUUAGAAUACUUAACUAACAUUACAAGUAUNCUGUGACAUCCCCAUUUUCACGGCCAGAAAAGACCGAUUUUGUUUAUGCUUUAUAAAAAUCAGAGUACUUCAUUUUAUAAAAAUGUUGCGGAAUUUGUUCCCAGAAAAACAUGGUAAAUACGUUAUUAAAACAUUUUCGAUGAAACGUAUUUAUUUCAUUUUAAAACGUUUGGGAUGUCAUCGUUAAUACAGAAACAUAAGCAUAAACAGAACUUACAAUUAUUUACACUAGUGAUCUACAUCUCUUUAAAUCUCUCAGUGUAUUGUGACUUCAUAUCAACACCUGUGAUAAAAAUAAACUGAGUGGGUCAGGUUGGGAAACCUGGUGAGCACAUAGGGUUUUCAACCCACAAUAAUAUAAUUAUUAUUUUUAAACAUCAAACAAUCAACCCAAUUACCCAUUCCCGUUAUCCUCACAUUACGUCCCUAAAACAUCUAACACAAGGGACCUAGUCAAAGGACUAUCAUUGGGAUGGAGUAUAUCUGGUGAGCACACAGUUCACACAGUUCGAAUAAACACACAGUUCGAAUAAACACACAGUUCGGUUAAACACAAAGUUCGAAUAAACACCUACAGGUUGCGAGCCUGUUAGUGUUCCACUGGACUGUCUAGAAUAGUCCGUGGUCGUCAUCUAUACUCCGCUAGAUGACUAGAUCAUCAAGAACAUCUAUAACGAGGCAUCUCAUUAUUUCAUUUUAUCACACAGCAACUAAUACAUCUACCCAUGUUUUACCCAACACAUUUUGUAGAUAUAAAAUACAUAUACAGUUUAAAUCAUUGAAAACAUGUAUAAAACGUUCAUCCAGCAUAGAUAGCAAGUAUACAGAUAAUAUACACACACAGCACGUAAUUUAUAUAAAAUACUUCAUAUCUAUGUGUAAGCUGAAAGUAACUAUGCACUCACCUGAGAAGGUGGUGACUCGGUACUCGGACAGCGCUUCGUUUACUUUAAAAUAAUUUCCUUUGACGAAACCUAGUAUUAUCACCACUAGAUUUUAGUCUAAUAUUACCGUGACUAAUUAUUAGUCUUAUUAUUAUUAUUAUUAUUAUUAUUAUUAUUAUUAUUAUUAUUAUUAUUAUUAUUAUAUAAGCGUUUAAACAAUACUUUCCAACUACUAUGUACAGACAGGGGCCAGACAUAAAACACCGGAGGGCAGGACCAUUUUGGCGUAUAGCACUUCUGAAAUCCAACAACCCUAUGCGGCCCUUUAAACCAGAUUCCCCGUACCGCGAGUAGUUAAAAGAUAUUAUAACGACACUUAUAUAAGUCAUAAUAAUAGCUCAAAUAUUUAUUAUAAAUUUAUAAUAACAAUACUAAUUUUAAAUAUAAACUAUAUUUAAAAUAGGGUAAACAUAACUUACUUACAAGGGGAUUUUAGCUAGGAGUCGGGCUCUGCAGGGGCAGAACUUCGUCGCUGAAUCUUUCUAAGAAAGAUUCGUGCAGCGCUUCAGCGCUCACCUUACUAUACUAAAACUACAGAAAGAGAAGUCGAAUCACGAGGGACCGAAAUGCUCGGGGGAUAAGGAGAGAAAGACUCUUGAAUCAAGAGAAUGGUGCAAGAAAUAUGAGAGCCCAAGGCUCUUAUUUAUACUAAUUGAAUUUUCAAAAACUACCCUCCAUAAUUACUUAAUGACCUUUUAGUUAUAUAAACAACUAAACACCCCUCUAUAAUACUAUUUUAAAUGGAUUUAAUGAUCUUUGUACUAAACUAAUGUCGAAAGAACUCAACAUUAGUUUUAUAAUAACCGCAUCGUCGAUACCUUUCUAAUGAUAUAUACAUAUGUAUAUAUAUGUGUACGUAUACAUGAUUUAUACUUUAUUUUAAUACGUAAAUAUACUACUAUAAUUUGUAACUCGCUCAUACGAACUCCGUUUUUGACGUUAUUUAUAUCCACGCGUAGGUGGAGACAUACUCUACAACUUUCGUUUAGACUCCGUUGGUUAAUUUUGACUUUAUUUUUAAAGUUAUAUUUUUAACAGGCCAGGACAGGAUUGGUCCGUUAAAAUCUCAUAACUUCUUUAUUCGAUGUCCAUUUUCGUCUGUAUUUUUAUCGUUACGCUACUAAUAACGAGAUCUUCGAUUCUUGUUUAGGUUGUGUCGGCUAAAAAUCAAUCGAUCUAAAAUUCGAAUUUCGGGCUGUACACCGCUAAUCCGAAACUUCGAAAAAUCAUAACUUCUUCAUACGAAGUCAGAUUUGGGCGUUCUUUUUAUCGAUGUUCUUAGUUUAACAUAUUCUACGACUUUUGUUUAGAGCGCUAAGGCUAAAUCUCUAUAUAUCAUAAAUUUACUAUUUACGCUUCCCGGCGCCGUGCCGGUUCCGACGCGAAACUUCGACGGGUCAUAACUUCUUCGUUAUAACUCGGAUUUCAGCGUUCUUUAUAUGUACGGAAACCUUGUGACAUAUUCAACAAAUUGGUUAAGAUUAUUUAUUCUAAAUAAUAUUUUUGUCAAAAAGUCGUUUUCGACCUCUAUUGCCUCUAAAUUAACUAGCCCGGAUCUGCGGGCGUUACAACAAGUAUACCCGACCGUCGAAAUCCAUAACUACAAGUAGAACAAAAUAUAAGUAAAUGGGUGUUGUACGCUGCGGUUAAACCUGGGCAGCUAUGUAGUCGUGUCUAGGAUUAAUAUAGUCUGGCCAACUAUAUUCAUUCGAGACACGGCCAACAUGUGCUUGGGAGUGACUGUGGUAUGCAACAUACCUAAAACUUACCCAGUACCCCAAACAAUGAGCCGUCGUUACAGCGAACCAUGAAAUACUAUGGGAGUAUUUCUCAAGCCGAUCCGUUGUAGAAGUCCUCAUUCAAGCGUUGUUCCUUGAUCAUUCCUUUUGCGAUAAAUUAUUUGCUUUGAUAACUCCCUCCUGUUUUAUCGCUUAAUAGAAUAUCUGUCUUAAUGAGAUAUCCCCUGUUCCGUAUCUCUUGAUUCAAUUCAGAGGACUUCUGAUCCUCUCUUUCCUGGUUAUUCUAGAUCAAGAUGCCUCCAAGGAAACGACCCAGCUUAAAGACCAACAACUCUCCACCGCCACCACCUCCUAUUCAAAUCGAUCUGGAAACACUUAAGGCAGCCAUUACUGCCGCAGUGUCAGCCACCCUGUCUCAAUUAAACCCCAGUGGUUCAAGGGGUGGUACCCAAACCCAAAACCCGGAAGGUAAUCAGGGACACCGGAAGGAGUGUUCCUAUAAAGACUUUAUGAACGCAAAACCCACGUUCUUCGAUGGCACAGGGGGUGUCAAUGCUCUAACUCGGUGGUUGAAGAAAAUCGAAUCUAUCUUCGAGAUUUGUGCCUUUUCGGAAUCCGACAAGGUGAAAUUCGCCGCCUGUACGCUC